This 492-nucleotide ribosomal RNA is filed under the name uncultured bacterium. Its description in RNAcentral is "partial 16S ribosomal RNA". It matches the Rfam family "Bacterial small subunit ribosomal RNA", at positions 28 to 507 of the family's 1533-position model. The record is from RNAcentral.
GAUGAACGCUAGCUACAGGCUUAACACAUGCAAGUCGAGGGGAAACGGCAUCGAAAGCUUGCUUUUGAUGGGCGUCGACCGGCGCACGGGUGAGUAACGCGUAUCCAACCUGCCCAUCACUUGGGAAUAACCUUGCGAAAGUAAGACUAAUGCCCAAUGACAUCCCACGAAGGCAUCCGAAUGGGAUUAAAGAUUUAUCGGUGAUGGAUGGGGAUGCGUCUGAUUAGCUUGUUGGCGGGGUGACGGCCCACCAAGGCAACGAUCAGUAGGGGUUCUGAGAGGAAGGUCCCCCACAUUGGAACUGAGACACGGUCCAAACUCCGACGGGAGGCAGCAGUGAGGAAUAUUGGUCAAUGGGCGAGAGCCUGAACCAGCCAAGUAGCGUGCAGGAUGACGGCCCUAUGGGUUGUAAACUGCUUUUAUAAGGGAAUAAAGUGGGUCACGUGUGACUUUUUGCAUUUACCUUAUGAAUAAGGACCGGCUAAUUCCGUG